RNAcentral lists this ribosomal RNA (206 nucleotides) under uncultured bacterium. Its description in RNAcentral is "partial 16S ribosomal RNA". It matches the Rfam family "Bacterial small subunit ribosomal RNA", at positions 568 to 773 of the family's 1533-position model. The record is from RNAcentral.
CUCGUAGGCGGUUCGUCGCGUCCGGUGUGAAAGUCCAUCGCUUAACGGUGGAUCCGCGCCGGGUACGGGCGGGCUUGAGUGCGGUAGGGGAGACUGGAAUUCCCGGUGUAACGGUGGAAUGUGUAGAUAUCGGGAAGAACACCAAUGGCGAAGGCAGGUCUCUGGGCCGUCACUGACGCUGAGGAGCGAAAGCGUGGGGAGCGACA